This 253-nucleotide ribosomal RNA is filed under the name uncultured bacterium. RNAcentral's name for it is "partial 16S ribosomal RNA". It matches the Rfam family "Bacterial small subunit ribosomal RNA", at positions 524 to 776 of the family's 1533-position model. The record is from RNAcentral.
UACGUAGGGUGCGAGCGUUGUCCGGAAUUACUGGGCGUAAAGAGCUCGUAGGUGGUUUGUCGCGUUGUUCGUGAAAUUCCCUGGCUUAACUGGGGGCGUGCGGGCGAUACGGGCAGACUGGAGUACUGCAGGGGAGACUGGAAUUCCUGGUGUAGCGGUGGAAUGCGCAGAUAUCAGGAGGAACACCGGUGGCGAAGGCGGGUCUCUGGGCCACUACUGACGCUGAGAAGCGAAAGCAUGGGGAGCGAACAGG